GACGAACGCUGGCGGCGUGCUUAACACAUGCAAGUCGAACGGAAAGGCCCUGCUUUUGUGGGGUGCUCGAGUGGCGAACGGGUGAGUAACACGUGAGUAACCUGCCCUUGACUUUGGGAUAACUUCAGGAAACUGGGGCUAAUACCGGAUAGGAGCUCCUGCUUCAUGGUUGGGGUUGGAAAGUUUCGGCGGUUGGGGAUGGACUCGCGGCUUAUCAGCUUGUUGGUGGGGUAGUGGCUUACCAAGGCUUUGACGGGUAGCCGGCCUGAGAGGGUGACCGGCCACAUUGGGACUGAGAUACGGCCCAGACUCCUACGGGAGGCAGCAGUGGGGAAUAUUGCACAAUGGGCGGAAGCCCGAUGCAGCAACGCCGCGUGCGGGAUGACGGCCUUCGGGUUGUAAACCGCUUUCGCCUGUGACGAAGCGUGAGUGACGGUAAUGGGUAAAGAAGCACUGGCUAACUACGUG
RNAcentral lists this ribosomal RNA (468 nucleotides) under uncultured bacterium. RNAcentral's name for it is "partial 16S ribosomal RNA". It matches the Rfam family "Bacterial small subunit ribosomal RNA", at positions 28 to 507 of the family's 1533-position model. The record is from RNAcentral.